GAAGAACCCCGGGGGGGGGUCCCUAAAACAUGCAAGUGGAGGGGGGCGAAUCAGAAAGCUUUUUUUUUUUUUCUUUAGGGGCGGGAAGGGGUAGAAUAACACGGGGACAAACCUGCCCUUGAGGGGGGGGAUAACCCCCGAGAAAUCGGGUGCUAAUUCCCGGAUAACAAAAAAAUUUCGCAUGACUUUUUUUUUAAAAAGCCGGCACAAGUUGUCGCCUACGGGAGGGGCCCCGCGGCGCAUUAGCUUGGUUGGGGGAGGUAACGGGCUCCCCAAAGGCGACGAUGUGUAGCCGCCCCUAAGAGGGGUGAUCGGCCACCCUGGGACAGAGACCGGCCCAGACCCCUACGAAGGCAGCAGUAGGUCUCUUCCGCAAUGGACGAAAGUCUACAAGCAACCCCGCGUGAGCGAAAAACCCUCGUGUCGUAAAGCCUGUUGAUAGGAAAGAAAAGUAACGCAGAACUGGCUUACGUAACGGUACAUAACGAGAAACCACGGCUAUCUACGUGCCAGCAGCCGCGGUAAUACGUAGGUGGCAAGUGUUGUCCGGAAUUAUUGGGCGAAAACGCGCGCACGCGGUUCCUUAAGUCUUAUGUGAGACCCACGGCUCCCCCGUGGAGGGUCAUUAGAAACUGGGGGACUUGAGUGCAGAAGAGGAGAGCGGAAUUCCACGUGUAGCGGUGAAAUGCGUAGAGAUGUCAAGGAACACCAAUGGCGAAGGCGGCCCUCUGGUCUGUCACUGACGCUGAGGCGCGAAAGCGUGGGGAGCAAACAGG
This 776-nucleotide ribosomal RNA is filed under the name uncultured Streptococcus sp. RNAcentral describes it as "partial 16S ribosomal RNA". It matches the Rfam family "Bacterial small subunit ribosomal RNA", at positions 28 to 776 of the family's 1533-position model. Lineage: Bacteria; Bacillati; Bacillota; Bacilli; Lactobacillales; Streptococcaceae. The record is from RNAcentral.